GAUGGUGAUGUGUUUGUAGAUCUUACUUUACUGAACAUUCUUGCUUCUUACAAUUAUCUCAAUUUAUAUUGAACUUGGCCCAUUAGUUACAGAGGAAAAUAUUUUGUUAAAAUUUACAAAAUUAUUAAAAAUUGACUAUAAAGGGCAAUAACUUCUUAAGGGUCAACUGACCUUUUUGGUCAUGUUGACUUGUUUGUGGAUCUUACUUUGCUGAACACUAUAGUUGUUUACAGUUUGUGGAUCUUACUUUGCUGAACACUAUUGUUGUUUACAGUUUAUCUCUAUCUAUAAUAAUAUUCAAGAUAAUAACCAAAAACAGCAAAAUU
This 326-nucleotide long non-coding RNA is filed under the name Mytilus galloprovincialis (Mediterranean mussel). The record is from RNAcentral. Lineage: Eukaryota; Metazoa; Mollusca; Bivalvia; Mytilida; Mytilidae.